UCCCCCGUGAGGGGGCAGUCUCGCCUGACAUAAGUAACAGACAACGAGGGUUGCGUUCGUUACCCCACUGAAGGGAACAGCUCAAGCCACGAACUGACGACAACCAUGCAUCACCUGCCAAGCACCCUCGAAGGAUUCCCUCUUUUCGGAGGGCGUGCAGCUUGGUUUCUAGCCUGGGUAAGGUUCUUCGCUUAUCGACGAAUUAAGCCACAUGAUCCACCGCUUGUGCGAGUCCCCGUCUAUUCCUUUGAGUUUUAAUCUUGCGAUCGUACUACCCAGGCGGCUCGCUUACCGCGUUAGCUUAGUCCCACAGAGGGUCGAUACUCCGUAGAACGAGCGAGCAGCGUUUAGGGCCAGGACUA
Molecule: unclassified non-coding RNA, 362 nt
Filed under: uncultured bacterium
Lineage: Bacteria
Description: contains 16S-23S intergenic spacer region
Source: RNAcentral